Vigna angularis (adzuki bean) is the source of this 326-nucleotide long non-coding RNA. RefSeq lists it as uncharacterized. The transcript is spliced from 4 exons. Lineage: Eukaryota; Viridiplantae; Streptophyta; Magnoliopsida; Fabales; Fabaceae. The record is from RefSeq and is a predicted model, not a curated record.
CCCAGAUAUUGACCGCAAUGAGCCUCUGGAGGAAUUCAUCAAGUCUAGGGGUUACUCAGAAUUAUUUCAGAAAGCCUAUCUUAUUCCAAUUUGUUCUUCUAUCUGGUCCUACGCUUCUGAAGGAGUUAUGAGCUUCUCUGCUUUCUCAGUUCUUUCGUUCUGUCGCAACCACCAUUUACUUCAGAUCUUUGGCAGACCACAGUGGCUAACUGUAAGAUGGCGCUCACAAAAUUAUGUAAAGAAGGUCGAAGAAGAGCUUGAAAGGGAUGGUAGUCACAUAAUAACUAACCGUGAGGUUCACUUGGUUUCGACAACUGAAAAAGGUG